CCGCUUGAUUUUUCAGGAGAUUUAACUAUAAUAGUAUUGCUGCGAAAGCAGAGACGACACUGAGUGCGUUGCGUAAUAGAUCUUUUGGACUGGGGGGCGGUACCCCACAGCUCCACCAGCAAAAAAAUGGGGGCUGAAACAGCAUCGACAGGGAUUGAAAGACAGCGCUUGUGUUCCGGCGUGGUUGCCGCGAAAGACCGAAUCAAACGAAUGCUAAAAACAUUCCCGCGAACGAUAACGUUCGCCUUGCAAUGGCCGCCUAACCGGCAUCGCCUUGCGGGGUCCGCCUGAACCUGGCAACAGAAUCAGGCGCU
This 314-nucleotide transfer-messenger RNA is filed under the name Rickettsiales bacterium. It matches the Rfam family "Alphaproteobacteria transfer-messenger RNA". From Rfam's summary of the family: Bacterial tmRNA, also known as 10Sa RNA or SsrA, is named for its dual tRNA and mRNA-like properties. Its role is to liberate the mRNA from a stalled ribosome. The record is from RNAcentral. Lineage: Bacteria; Pseudomonadati; Pseudomonadota; Alphaproteobacteria; Rickettsiales.